RNAcentral lists this unclassified non-coding RNA (242 nucleotides) under Hevea brasiliensis (rubber tree). Lineage: Eukaryota; Viridiplantae; Streptophyta; Magnoliopsida; Malpighiales; Euphorbiaceae. The record is from RNAcentral.
UCAUCGCUCGCGGAACGCGCGUGUCAUGCUGUCGUGGAUCGGCUUCACGAUGUACUGAAAGAACGUUCGUUCAGUCGUCUUGACGUAGACUUCCGCCGGCAUACCUGGCGUCGGGCUGAAACCCGGGAUUGNNNNNUUCCUCAUUAUUCAGCUUGACGCGGAUGAUAUAGAUGUCCGUCGGCCCAACUUGUUGGGAUUUUUUCUCGUCGGCCAGCGUAUCGGCUGAAAGAUAGAUGACUUCU